This 251-nucleotide ribosomal RNA is filed under the name uncultured archaeon. RNAcentral's name for it is "partial 16S ribosomal RNA". It matches the Rfam family "Archaeal small subunit ribosomal RNA", at positions 748 to 997 of the family's 1478-position model. The record is from RNAcentral.
CAGCCGUAAACUAUGCUCGCUAGGUGUCAGGCAUGGCGCGACCGUGUCUGGUGCCGCAGGGAAGCCGUGAAGCGAGCCACCUGGGAAGUACGGCCGCAAGGCUGAAACUUAAAGGAAUUGGCGGGGGGAGCACAACAACGGGUGGAGCCUGCGGUUUAAUUGGACUCAACGCCGGACAACUCACCGGGGUCGACAGCAAUAUGUAGGCCAGGCUGAAGACCUUGCCUGAAUCGCUGAGAGGAGGUGCAUGG